This is a small nuclear RNA of Quercus lobata, 160 nucleotides long. RefSeq annotates it as U1 spliceosomal RNA. The transcript has a single exon. NCBI's taxonomy places the organism in Eukaryota, Viridiplantae, Streptophyta, Magnoliopsida, Fagales, Fagaceae. The record is from RefSeq and is a predicted model, not a curated record.
AUACUUACCUGGUCGGGGUCAAUGGGUGAUCAAGAAAGCUCAUGGCCUAAGUUGGUAACCUGCAUUGCACUUUUAAGAGGGGUGCUAGCGUAAGGUUUUCCCAAAUUAAUAUCAGGUACAAUACAUAGGGUAUUGUACUGGAAAAAAAAUUAAGACAAGU